RNAcentral lists this ribosomal RNA (585 nucleotides) under uncultured bacterium. RNAcentral describes it as "partial 16S ribosomal RNA". It matches the Rfam family "Bacterial small subunit ribosomal RNA", at positions 355 to 1375 of the family's 1533-position model. The record is from RNAcentral.
UGGGGAAUUUUGGACAAUGGGCGAAAGCCUGAUCCAGCAAUGCCGCGUGUGUGAAGAAGGCCUUCGGGUUGUAAAGCACUUUUGUCCGGAAAGAAAUCCUUGGCUCUAAUACAGUCGGGGGAUGACGGUACUGGAAGAAUAAGCACCGGCUAACUACGUGCCAGCAGCCGCGGUAAUACGUAGGGUGCAAGCGUUAAUCGGAAUUACUGGGCGUAAAGCGUGCGCAGGCGGUUUGCUAAGACCGAUGUGAAAUCCCCGGGCUCAACCUGGGAACUGCAUUGGUGACUGGCAGGCUAGAGUAUGGCAGAGGGGGGUAGAAUUCCACGUGUAGCAGUGAAAUGCGUAGAGAUGUGGAGGAAUACCGAUGGCGAAGGCAGCCCCCUGGGCCAAUACUGACGCUCAUGCACGAAAGCGUGGGGAGCAAACAGGAUUAGAUACCCUGGUAGUCCACGCCCUAAACGAUGUCAACUAGUUGUUGGGGAUUCAUUUCCUUAGUAACGUAGCUAACGCGUGAAGUUGACCGCCUGGGGAGUACGGUCGCAAGAUUAAAACUUAAAGGAAUUGACGGGGUCAUAGCUGUUUCCU